CGGGAGGCAGCAGUAGGGAAUUUUCGGCAAUGGAGGAAACUCUGACCGAGCAACGCCGCGUGAACGAUGAAGUAUUUCGGUACGUAAAGUUCUUUUAUUAGGGAAGAAUAAAUGAUGGAAAAAUCAUUCUGACGGUACCUAAUGAAUAAGCCCCGGCUAACUAUGUGCCAGCAGCCGCGGUAAUACAUAGGGGGCAAGCGUUAUCCGGAAUUAUUGGGCGUAAAGGGUGCGUAGGCGGUUAAAUAAGUUUAUGGUCUAAGUGCAAUGCUUAACAUUGUGAUGCUAUAAAAACUGUUUAACUAGAGUAAGAUAGAGGCAAGUGGAAUUCCAUGUGUAGUGGUAAAAUGCGUAAAUAUAUGGAGGAACACCAGUAGCGAAGGCGGCUUGCUGGGUCUUUACUGACGCUGAGGCACGAAAGCGUGGGGAGCAAACAGGAUUAGAUACCCUGGUAGUCCACGCCGUAAACGAUGAGUACUAAAUGUUGGGUAAAACCAGUGUUGAAGUUAACACAUUAAGUACUCCGCCUGAGUAGUACGUACGCAAGUAUGAAACUUAAAGGAAUUGACGGGACUCCGCACAAGCGGUGGAUCAUGUUGUUUAAUUCGAAGGUACCCGAAAAACCUCACCAGGUCUUGACAUGCUUCUGCAAAGCUGUAGAAACACAGUGGAGGUUAUCAGUUGCACAGGUGGUGCAUGGUUGUCGUCAGCUCGUGUCGUGAGAUGUUGGGUUAAGUCCCGCAACGAGCGCAACCCUUAUUGUUAGUUGCCAGCACGUAAUGGUGGGGACUUUAGCAAGACUGCCAGUGAUAAAUUGGAGGAAGGUGGGGACGACGUCAAAUCAUCAUGCCCCUUAUGACCUGGGCUACAAACGUGAUACAAUGGCUGUUACAAAGGG
Molecule: ribosomal RNA, 895 nt
Filed under: Cassava witches'-broom aster yellows phytoplasma
Lineage: Bacteria; Bacillati; Mycoplasmatota; Mollicutes; Acholeplasmatales; Acholeplasmataceae
Description: bacterial SSU rRNA
Rfam family: Bacterial small subunit ribosomal RNA
Source: RNAcentral